Long non-coding RNA from Carassius gibelio (silver crucian carp), 764 nucleotides. RefSeq lists it as uncharacterized. The transcript has 5 exons. The record is from RefSeq and is a predicted model, not a curated record. Lineage: Eukaryota; Metazoa; Chordata; Actinopteri; Cypriniformes; Cyprinidae.
AUGACCAAUCGCCGUUGUUCUCCAUUCAUGUUGUAACGCAGGGAUUGUACGUCACUGGUGACAUGGCAACGAUGGAGGCUAGUCCGGAAUCAACAGCGAAUACACUGCUGAAAGAUGAGUGCUAUACUGAUUUCAUUGAAGAGGGUUUUGAUGUGAAGACGUACACAGCUCAAGCCAUUCAUCAUGCUGUCAUUGCAGAGCAGCUGGCAAAGCUGGCGGAGGAUCAGACAAACACCUGUCGAGAUGAGACAAACACCUGUCAGGUGUCUAACAAAUGAUGCAGACCCGAAUCGUUGCUCUCCACAGUGCUGUGGACAGGAUAAGGACCAAAAUUGUUGACCCUUACAAUAAGAUUGUGGCACGGACAGCCCAGCUCGCCUGCUUACAGUGACCUUCAAAAUGAAUUUCUGGCAAGUUCCACAAGCAGAACAACGAACAACAAAUAAAAAAGUCUGUAGUGGCUGUGUGACAUAGUCCAUUUCUUCUGAAGCUUGCAUGGUCUACUUUUACUGUGCUUUUUGUUCUCUGUAACUUGACAGAUGUGGUCACUGUGUAUUGUCAUGGUUAAAAAAAAAAAAAAGAGUUCAAAACAUCUAUUUUGGCUAAAGGAAAGUCAUUUGUGCACCUGCUAGUAUCUUUGUGUGGCAAGGCAAGAAAAUGCAUGCUUUUAUCAUGUUCACUUUCUGCCCCACGGCUCACAUGAUGCCAUCAUGAGUGUCUGAAUCUGCAGAAAAGAAAAAAAAAUCAAUAAAAGUCCAUUUGGA